Molecule: long non-coding RNA, 206 nt
Organism: Rhipicephalus microplus (southern cattle tick)
Lineage: Eukaryota; Metazoa; Arthropoda; Arachnida; Ixodida; Ixodidae
Source: RefSeq, a predicted model, not a curated record
GUCGCGUUGGCUAUGAUUCCUCUAAAUUCAACGUAGAAGUUAUAUAUCCAGAAGUUCUCAUAACGUGCGACUCGAUAUAUUUUGCUGGAUUUAAGAAUAAAUACAGCUUAAUAAAAUACAUCGUCAUUAUGUUUCAAGUUGUGACCUUACGCUACAGCACUAUUAUUCAACCUCAGAUACAGCCUGUUUUAAGGGGCAUCGAAAUC